GAGGGUAUAGCUCAGUGGCAGAGCGCAUGCUUAGCAUGCACAGGGUCCUGAGUUCAAUCCCCAGUCCCUCC
This 71-nucleotide transfer RNA is filed under the name Camelus bactrianus (Bactrian camel). It matches the Rfam family "tRNA". Rfam says of the family: Transfer RNA (tRNA) molecules are approximately 80 nucleotides in length. RNAcentral also lists the same sequence under 1 other name. Lineage: Eukaryota; Metazoa; Chordata; Mammalia; Artiodactyla; Camelidae. The record is from Rfam by way of RNAcentral.